GACGAACGCUGGCGGCGUGCCUAAUACAUGCAAGUCGAGCGAAGAAGAUAGGUGCUUGCUCCACUUUGAAGAGCAGCGAACGGGUGAGUAACGCGUGGGGAAUCUGCCUUUGAGAGGGGGACAACAUUUGGAAACGAAUGCUAAUACCGCAUAACAACUUUAAACAUAAGUUUUAAAAUUGAAAGAUGCAAUUGCAUCACUCAAAGAUGAUCUCGCGUUGUAUUAGCUAGUUUGUGAGGUAAAGGGCUACCAAAGCGAUGAUACAUAGCCGACCUGAGAGGGUGAUCGGCCACAUUGGGAAUUGGACACGGCCCAAACUCCUACGGGAGGCAGCAGGAGGGAAUCUUCGGCAAUGGACGAAAGUCUGACCGAGCAACGCCGCGGGAGGGAAGAAGGUUUUCGGAUCGUAAAACUCUUGUGGUAGGGAAGAACGUUGGUGGGAGUGGAAAGCUCAUCAAGUGACGGUAACUACCCAGAAAGGGACGGCUAACUACGUG
This 497-nucleotide ribosomal RNA is filed under the name uncultured bacterium. Its description in RNAcentral is "partial 16S ribosomal RNA". It matches the Rfam family "Bacterial small subunit ribosomal RNA", at positions 28 to 507 of the family's 1533-position model. The record is from RNAcentral.